Molecule: long non-coding RNA, 3900 nt
Organism: Triticum aestivum (bread wheat)
Lineage: Eukaryota; Viridiplantae; Streptophyta; Magnoliopsida; Poales; Poaceae
Exons: 4
Source: RefSeq, a predicted model, not a curated record
CGCCUCCCCUUAUUUUCCUAUCGCCCCUUCAUGCUUUGUGCCGGCACCGUGGGUCCGUGGCCACCAGCGACUUCAGCGUUGGCUCGUCCCCUCGGAAGGGUCGUCGGGGCGCAGUUCUCCCAAGCGGUUGGUGAGGCUGAGGAGCGCCGGGGACUGUGGGCACGGCUCGAAACCAUGGCGCAGGCAGUAGUAUACCGGCGGAAGGUGUGCCGCGACCGCGAGUUCCACGCUGCCGGAGUCGUGCACGGGCUCGUCGUCGAACUCGCGCUCUGGUCAUAGAUGAGCCAUCCGGCGCUGGGUCCGCCCAGCAGCCACUCCAUAGGCCGAACGGCGGAUUCAGGAGGCAGCGGCACUAGUUUUUUUUUUUUUUUGCGGGUGCAGCGGCACUAGUUGUCGGCGUCCGCGCUGAAGUUGGAGGCAGAGGCCUCAUUCUGCGUUCGGCACUGCGGAAGUUUCCGGCGCGGCAGCGGCCCUGAUACUUGGUCCAGGGGCUCCAGGGUAGUUGCGGCGCUGCACCCAGCGGUUGCUGCGAAGGCGGCGGCGGCCGCCAGGCGACGUCGGGGUAGCCAAAGGUUUCCGCAGUGGCGGAGGCGGCGGUGGAGGCCGUCGUUUCUGUCCGGACGACCGUGACAGCGAAGGCUUAAUGCCCGGCGACCGUCGGAGUUCCAUCGGCGAGUAGCAGCGAGAGCGAAAUUCCGGCGAGGAAAACGAGAGUGCCGGUGCUCUCUGGCCACAAAGCGAAGGAACAAGCAACAUCCGGCAAGAAAAUCAUCAGUUUCUCACCUUUCUUCUCCGUUCUCUCCUGUAGCCUAUUUGCUCUAGUCAGAACAGUGCUUGAUAACGUGAAGAGAGUAUAGAGAAAUGAAAGUGAAAGAGUGAUUUCAUUGAUAAUGACUGUAGGCUUUUAUAUGACCUGAACAAUCGCAAGUACGUACAUGUCUGUUACAAUAGUCGCGUUGUUUAGAAAAGGCACGACGAUGGUUAGAGAGACACAUCGUAUGGACAAAGCCAAUAUUCUAACUGCUAGAUAGAAUAUUCUAAGGAAUAUGCUAAUUGCCUAAUUACUCUAAAUCUAAAGAUAUUUUAUUCCUAACAUUAUUUAUCUAAACAUGCAGGCUAUCCACGUCAUCAAUCAUGCCAUGUCAGUAAAAACUGUUCCAUCGUCUGCCGUGUCAGCAAACGUCGAGUGAAAAGAAAUUAAUGUCGCGUCCGGUUCCAACGCAGUCCAUUCGCUUCCCCUUCCACCGUCCGUAACCGAUGAGUAAAUCGAAUCUAAUGUCGACGCCACCGCAUGCGGUACUGCUCCCCUUUCCCUUCAUCCUCCGCGAAAGUGACCCAGCGAGGCGCCGCAACGUUGCCGAAGUGCCGAGCGAGGGCGACUCCCGGUGAUCCAGGCACGCCAUCCGCUGUGACACCAGUGAGCCGCCCCGCCAUCCUGGAGACAUCGCCCUGACCCCGCUACCCCGCGUCCCCAUUGGCGCCGACACGUGUGACCUUGGCGAGUCAACCCGCAACCCUCGACGCGCGAUGCUGCUCCGGCAACCCUGGCUAACUGCGUGUCCACUCUUCCACCGAUCCCUCUACAUGCUGUUCAGAGGGAGGUCACUGCCUUGAGCGCCUUGUGAUCACCGCAGGUCAACUUAUACUCGCACCCCAUUGCAGGUAAAUCGAGACCCGCGGGCUCCGACGGCCCAUGAUCGCGCUCCGGCGUCAACCAGAGAUCCUGGUGAGGCCACACGUGCCACCCUCGGUGUCCUCCCUCAACAACACCUGCACCAAAGAAGAAAGCUCUAUUCCAAUCUCCAGCAACUUCCUCCGUGGCAGCAUGUCUGGUCUCGAGCACUGCGGGCAAGCAUUUGUUAAGGGAGGCACCACGGAUUCAUGCUCAUGUCUCCAAUCCAGUUGGUUUUGAUUGGAAGCACUAGAUGGUAUGUUGCUGCCUAGCAGUAUUAUUCCACUGUGAUGACAUGGGACCGAUCUAAUACGUGACUGGUAUCAAUGUGUGGCUGACAUUGUCGUUCUUCUACUAAAAGGUUCACAGCCGAAGGAUUUUUUUUCAGCUGCUAGGUGCUUCAUGAUUUGCCUCUUCUGUGGAAAUAAGUUUCAUGCGCAUCAAAGCGAGGUCAGAGAUGAAAACCCAUACUUUCUCAAGAAUAAUGUUAGUAUGUAAUUCACAGUUCUAGAACAUAAUUGUUCAUGAAAAGUGUAAUAUAUUCCAUGGGCCUCUGUUUUGAUUACAUAAUUUUUACAACAGUUAGAUGAGAGUAAAAUUCAACUUCCUAUCUUAUCUGCCAUAUCUAGCUCGGUAUAGCUAGCUUCCACCCUUUUGGUUAAUAUCUAUUUCCACUUCUCCAGUUAUUACAAUGCUCCUAAUUCUUUUGGUUGAUUUUGUUUCCUCCAUCAGCGCCUGAGGUUGUCAAUUCAAAGUACUACUAUGAAUAUUUCUUUUAGGAAUAUGAGUUACGCGUUAAUCAAUUGGUGCCUUCAAGUGUGCCUUUCAAAGAAAUCCAUAUAUUAACAAGAUCGAUGGAAAAUUGUAUAUUUGCAUUUGAUUUACAUAAUGAUGUGUAGACUUUUCCUUUGGGAAAUUGAGUCUUUUAUUAAUUAUUUGCACCGUCACACAACCACCAAAAUGUUCACUCCAUGCAAUUGCCUUAUCAUUCAUAUUUCUGCAUAAACAGACUGGUAUAUGUUUUGUUUUCUUAAAAUUCCUUAAAAGAAAUUAUUAUUGCUGCUGCUAUUGUUGUUCCGUUUUUGUUUUUAAAAAUUCACCCAUGCUGAGUAAAUAUGAAUUAUAAAUGCCACAAGUUUUCAUACUCCAAGUGAUCUCUUUAAUGUAUCUAUUUUCUCUUUCGUGCAUAUUCCCUUCAGAUAUGUAAUAGUAUAGCCCAUAAUCAAAUGAUAUAUUUCUACAAUUUUAAUAAAGGUAUGUUUGUUGUUCCCUCAAAUGGGUGAUAUAUUACAGUUUACAGGUUCCUCGUGGUAUUGGUGUUUGUUCAGCUGAAUACUUAACUUGAAUACACCCGUAGUUUACCUUCAUGUCUCAUGUGUACUCCUCCUUCGGCAUGGGAUGUAAAGCUCGCUGAUAUUUCUAUGAUUUGGCACAUAUGCUAUCAUUUAUUGUCUAUCUAAUGUGUUUGGUUUGAAAUAGCUGCAAGAAUAGUAACUGAAGUUCAGUUUCCAAACAUGCAUGUGUAAUUACUAUCAAACAAUUUUCUAUAAGGCUAAGAGCUUAGAUAUUAUUUCUUUAAACUUAUAUCUUCACUUUCCAGACGUAAGAAAUAACACUUAUGGUUAGAAUUAUACUACACGAUUGUUCUGGUGUUGAUAACAGUCCUAGCCUAAAAAAUUUGCCCUUGGUGAGAGGAGCAGGUCUAGCCCAUUGUGAUCAUGCUUGGUUUAAUUGGUCUAUGCUUGCUGGGAGCCUAUUAAUAACUAGUAGAACGCCCGUGCGUUGCUACGGGCUACAAUGCAUAGAAAUAAAUCAAAUGAAGCUAGAUAACUUCUGUUAUUUUCACGUGAAUAACAUGAGGCAAAGUAAUAAGUAAGCAGUUUAGUUCCUGAGAGUGGACCCAAUAUUUCAGUCUCAUAUGCUCAUUGGAUUGGCAAAACUUUACAAUCGCAUUAGAAAAGUUCCAUGGUAGUUUGUUUACUUAACAGGAAAAAGGUCAAGAAAAUGCAGGGUCUAACUGAACCAUUAGCUCCCAGUGGCUUGUUAUCUGCAACCUUUACAAAAUCCAAAAAAAGUAUAUUUUGAAAUAUGAUGCCCAAGAACAAUCAUGGAUCAGAUGGUUGUAUCUGAUUCCAAACAGACUGAGGCCCUGUCCAAACAAAUAAUAAUAAAUUGCUGACUCAUUAAUUUUAUGCACCAAGUAUAAUGCAAAUAGGAAUACGUAGCAC